AUUGAACGCUGGCGGCAUGCUUUACACAUGCAAGUCGUACGGCAGCGCGGGCUUCGGCCUGGCGGCGAGUGGCGAACGGGUGAGUAAUACAUCGGAACGUGCCCAGUAGUGGGGGAUAGCUCGGCGAAAGCCGGAUUAAUACCGCAUACGACCUGAGGGUGAAAGCGGGGGAUCUUCGGACCUCGCGCUAUUGGAGCGGCCGAUGGCAGAUUAGCUAGUUGGUGGGGUAAAGGCCUACCAAGGCGACGAUCUGUAGCUGGUCUGAGAGGACGACCAGCCACACUGGGACUGAGACACGGCCCAGACUCCUACGGGAGGCAGCAGUGGGGAAUUUUGGACAAUGGGCGAAAGCCUGAUCCAGCAAUGCCGCGUGUGUGAUGAAGGCCUUCGGGUUGUAAAGCACUUUUGGCGGGAACGAAAAGGACUGUGCCAAUACCACGGUUCGAUGACGGUACCCGCAGAAUAAGCACCGGCUAACUACGUG
Molecule: ribosomal RNA, 484 nt
Filed under: uncultured bacterium
Lineage: Bacteria
Description: partial 16S ribosomal RNA
Rfam family: Bacterial small subunit ribosomal RNA
Source: RNAcentral